Molecule: transfer RNA, 93 nt
Organism: Pseudogymnoascus sp. 05NY08
Lineage: Eukaryota; Fungi; Ascomycota; Leotiomycetes; Thelebolales; Thelebolaceae
Rfam family: tRNA
About the family: Transfer RNA (tRNA) molecules are approximately 80 nucleotides in length. Their secondary structure includes four short double-helical elements and three loops (D, anti-codon, and T loops).
Source: Rfam
UCCGGUAUAGUGUAGGGGUUAACAUAACCCGCUUUCAAAAGAAUUUCUUUCUUUAGAGCCGGGUAGCCCCGGGUUCGAUUCCCGGUACCGGAA